AUUUACUCAGCAAAAAAAUGAAGAAGACGAGAUUUUACAGAACUUUCGGAAGGAAAAUCCUGGCAAAUAUCAACCAUUAGAAAGAAGGACGUUUACGUUGGGAUGUAGCUCAUCUUCACCAAUCUGUAUCCCAUCCAGUCCCACAUUGCCAAUCAGCGCAUCGUUUGCUGUUCCAUCAUGUCCGACACCCGAGUAUAAUCCGUCAUCGCCGAUGAGUAUCUCAUCCAAUCCCACAUUGCCAAUCAACGUAUCGUGUGCUGUUCCAUCAUGUCCGACACCCGAGUAUAGUCCAUCAUCGCCGAUGUGUAUCUUAUACAGUCCCGCAUUACCCAUCAACGUAUCGUGUGCUGUUCCAUCAUGUCCGACACCCGAGUCCGCGUUGGAAUUUCCUCCUAAACCACCAAUACUCAACCUUCCGGCACCUGAUCACACGUUAACACCCCCCAGAAAUACAUCUGUACCACCAGCAGUCCUAUCUGGGAACCCCGCUACUUCUACUCAAACCUUGAGGCAGUAUCCGCUUAAAGAGGAGCUAAGUACAUGUUUGGCAUUAUCAAAAGUAUUAAAGACAGCACUGAUUAUUAAACAUAGAGACUUGAGCAAGUCUAGAGACAAUCCCACAGAGGAAAAUCCAAUGAUAUAGAUCGUGGAAAGAAAUGGGUGAUCCUAGACGGCUUUAUGGGAUGGACUGUGACGUCAUUGACCCCAAAGAGACCCCAAACUACUACCCUUACUACUCAUAGGCCUAAAUUAUGCAGCCCUUCACCCGCAGUGAUGGGGUCAAGAGGGGCGUUAAACAAUAUUCAAUCCAUCAAUCAUAUGCGAUAUAGAAAAAACUCUGCCACAACAAUGGUCGAAGUUUCAAAUCGAUCACAGGUUUUCGACGCAUUUCGCUGGAAGAUAUAAAUAAUGAUUUGCUGUUAUUUUAUUUUUAAUUUAAUUAAGAACCUUUGGAGCCAAUAUCUAAUUACUAAUGUAGGGAGUCAAUAUCUAAUUACUAAUGUAGUAAUAUUUAAUUUCAACAUGCAUCAUAUAUGUACAUACAUGCAUGUACGUUAAAAUUGAUGUAAGAAAACUGCUAAAAAACGCACAAACACGUCAAUAUUAUUAGCAAUAAGUUUUAUGCAUUAUAUUUUAUGUAUUUGCAUUAAAGAAUAUAUUAGAAUUUAGCGAAAAAGUAAGAGACAUCCCAAUCAUCUAGCUCUCGAGAUAUAACAUAUCAGUAGCCAUUUGUACCGAAAAUGAACGAAUUUUGGGCCGAUUUUUGUAAAAAGAAAAUAAAUUCCAGUUAUUAAAGGUCUAUGCGUGUC
This is a long non-coding RNA of Ostrea edulis (European flat oyster), 1310 nucleotides long. RefSeq lists it as uncharacterized. The record is from RefSeq and is a predicted model, not a curated record. Lineage: Eukaryota; Metazoa; Mollusca; Bivalvia; Ostreida; Ostreidae. The transcript is spliced from 2 exons.